GGGAAACUGUACAAAAUAACAAAGAAACAAAUGGAAUUGCAAUGCGGAAGUUUAUGAAGAAUGAUGGGCUGAAUGAGUAUAAAGCCUUUCAGGCAGCUUUUAGUGACACACUUGAAGAAAUUUAUUGUUUCGUUGAGCAUUAUUACAGAUCAGCAUUGUCAAGAACCAAUGGUGUUCCCUGAAGAAAGAAUACAACAUGGGACACAGGACUCUCAGAAAGAGCAGUGAUAUCCAACCUUUCUGGCACCCAGAGACCACCGGACCUCCUUUUCUACAAUCAAGCCAAACCAGUUCCUGUUGUUGGUGCCAAGAUAGACUACAGCUGGAAAUUCCCCAAAUGACCAACAGAUCACCUGGUGCCAACUGACUGACCACCAGGAAGAGCGACUAUUGACUUUGGGCUUAAAAGUCAUCUAAUCCACACUGUUUCUCACUCCCCUGACUACCCUCCUCUGCCCUGAGGUUUUUUUGCCUUUAUAAUCUCCUAUUCACUGACCCUGCCUGAGAGCAUGAUUUCUUUUUACACCAGGGGCUGCAUCUCCCCAAUCUGCAAAUUGUUUCUUAUGGAAAAUGAAGCUUUCUCUUUUCCUUCCACAGAUCUCAUGGUCUUUUGUUACAAGGAACCUGUCUCAAGACAGUCAUACUCUGUUAAUUCACUAUAACACUAAGAACCUCAAUGGAGUUCAGGUCUAUGAGAAUGAUUCAUUCAUAACAUCUAUCACCUUAAAAUUUAUUGACUAGGGCCUAAGGCACAACUGCCUUGCCCUGGGCUGAAUUCUACCCUAGGGCAGAGUUUUCGGUGGCCUCGGUGUACUCUUAGUAGUAUUUCUACUAAAAAGCCAACAUAGAGGGCAUAGACUCCAAGCCUUAGAGACUCAAACAAGAAACAACAUUUGACCAUUCCAUGCCCUCCAAAUCUAUUGGAUGCCACCAAACAAAGGCAAAAAAAAAAGCAGAUUUCAUAACACGAAAAACAAUAUAUUCUCUAUCUUUCAGCAUUGUGAGGGAAGGUGUCUGGUCUGGAAUCAUUUCUCAGUAUAAUGCACACCCCAAAGCAGCUUAACACAGCGGUAAGCCUAGAUGAAAGCAUUCAUGUCAAUUACAUGGAAAUGUUCUUUCACCAAGAUUGAGAAGCCACACUUGGGACAUUCAGUCCUCUAGACAAAAUGUAUUUGAAAUGGAAACUGAGAAAGCAAAGAGAAGCAUUUGUUCCUUUCCAGGUGAGAGGCAAGAGAAAGUCUUGUGUAAGAUAGCUGCUAGAAAUCCAGGCUGUUCUCUUCAGAACUCUCGUUCUCAGAUUUGCUAGGGUCUUUCCUUUGGUAGAAAGAGCUGAUUGCACUUCUAAAGGCAGCUUGACCUUUGCCCCAUCCCACUAGCUGAAUGAAACCAAGAAAGACUGCUUGAAUGCUUACACCCCUAAAGCGGAUUUGUAUUUAUAAAGUAGCCAAAGCUGUACUUGGCAAUGAUUUCACAAACAGAGAGACAAAUUCACAGGAGUGAGAAUAACUCUCUCACAAACUUUACCAUACUUUACACUUUGUUGGGAAGUCAGCAGAGAACUUCACACUUCAUUGAAAAUCCAUUAAACAAUUACCAGGUCAUUAGCACAGACUUUGAAGUACUAGCUUUCAAACUCCCUUACUAAAGAAAGCUCUUUGCUAGACCUUCAGCUGCCUUUGCAAGUGUAGUCCUAAGGAGCUUUAACAGAUAACCAAAACAGACAAACAUUAAAAAAAAAAAAAAAAGUGUACUCACUGAAAAAUAAAACAAAGCAUCAUGCAUGAAUCAUUUAAUGAAUCAAUUAUAUAACAGUAUAUGUUACAUAAUACUGUCAUAUGUAUUACUGUCUCUCAAUUGUAUCUGGAUAAGUAAAGUAGAUAAUCCGUAAAUGUUGGUUGAUUCAGGAAUAUGUUUCCCUAGACAAUCACAAACAACUACUGAGUGACUACCAAGGCUUUACUGCUUUUGUGCCAACCACCCUCAUUUGUAUCUCUAGCCCAGAUCUCUUCCUUGAACACCAAACUAGCAUUUUCUACUAUUCACUUGGCAUCUCAUCUGGAUGUCUACUAAACCUCUCAAACACAAUAUGCUCAAAACUGAACUCUUGAUCUUUACCGAAACCUGCUCUCCACCUCAGGUACUGGCAAUUCCAUUCUUCCAAUAGCUGAAAUCAGUGUUUUUUUUUUCUUUUCGUCUUUACUGAAGUAUAAAAGACAGAUGAUAAACUGCAC
RNAcentral lists this long non-coding RNA (2231 nucleotides) under Homo sapiens (human). RNAcentral describes it as "HSALNT0009621". Lineage: Eukaryota; Metazoa; Chordata; Mammalia; Primates; Hominidae. The record is from RNAcentral.